AGAGUUUGAUCCUGGCUCAGGACGAACGCUGGCGGCAUGCCUCAUACAUGCAAGUCGAACGAGCUCCCGUUGAAUGACGUGCUUGCACUGAUUUCAACAAUGAAGCGAGUGGCGAACUGGUGAGUAACACGUGGGGAAUCUGCCCAGAAGCAGGGGAUAACACUUGGAAACAGGUGCUAAUACCGUAUAACAACAAAAUCCGCAUGGAUUUUGUUUGAAAGGUGGCUUCGGCUAUCACUUCUGGAUGAUCCCGCGGCGUAUUAGUUAGUUGGUGAGGUAAAGGCCCACCAAGACGAUGAUACGUAGCCGACCUGAGAGGGUAAUCGGCCACAUUGGGACUGAGACACGGCCCAAACUCCUACGGGAGGCAGCAGUAGGGAAUCUUCCACAAUGGACGAAAGUCUGAUGGAGCAAUGCCGCGUGAGUGAAGAAGGGUUUCGGCUCGUAAAACUCUGUUGUUAAAGAAGAACACCUUUGAGAGUAACUGUUCAAGGGUUGACGGUAUUUAACCAGAAAGCCACGGCUAACUACGUGCCAGCAGCCGCGGUAAUACGUAGGUGGCAAGCGUUGUCCGGAUUUAUUGGGCGUAAAGCGAGCGCAGGCGGUUUUUUAAGUCUGAUGUGAAAGCCUUCGGCUUAACCGGAGAAGUGCAUCGGAAACUGGGAGACUUGAGUGCAGAAGAGGACAGUGGAACUCCAUGUGUAGCGGUGGAAUGCGUAGAUAUAUGGAAGAACACCAGUGGCGAAGGCGGCUGUCUAGUCUGUAACUGACGCUGAGGCUCGAAAGCAUGGGUAGCGAACAGGAUUAGAUACCCUGGUAGUCCAUGCCGUAAACGAUGAGUGCUAAGUGUUGGAGGGUUUCCGCCCUUCAGUGCUGCAGCU
This 881-nucleotide ribosomal RNA is filed under the name uncultured bacterium. RNAcentral's name for it is "bacterial SSU rRNA". It matches the Rfam family "Bacterial small subunit ribosomal RNA", at positions 8 to 853 of the family's 1533-position model. The record is from RNAcentral.